AGAGAGAGACAUGCGCGCAUAUCAAUAAGCGGAGGAAAAGAAACUAACAAGGAUUCCCCUAGUAACGGCGAGUGAAGCGGGAAGAGCUCAAAUUUGAAAUCUUAAAGGGUUUCCCUUUACGAAUUGUAGUUUAAAGAAGUGUUUUCUGUUGAGGUUUUGGUAAAAGUUCUUUGGAAUAGGACAUCAUAGAGGGUGAGAAUCCCGUAUUUGACCUUUACUUUCAACUUUGUGAUACACUUUCAAAGAGUCGGAUUGUUUGGGAAUGCAGUCCAAAAUGGGUGGUAAAUUUCAUCUAAAGCUAAAUAUUGGCGAGAGACCGAUAGCGAACAAGUACCGUGAGGGAAAGAUGAAAAGAACUUUGAAAAGAGAGUUAAACAGUACGUGAAAUUGUCAAAAGGGAAGCGUUUGACACCAGUGUUGUUUUUCUGAAAAUCAAUUAAAGAACUGUUUAUGCUAAGUUGUUUAGACUUUAUCAGCUAACUGUUUAGUUUUGAGCUUUUCUUUAAUGCACUUUUCAGUUAACAAGUCAACAUCAAUUUCUUUUGCUGUAAAAAAGCUUGAGGAAGGUGGCUUGAGAUUCGUCUUAAGUGUUUAUAGCCUCUUGCCUAUGCAGUCGGAGAGAUUGAGGUCUGCAGCGUAGAUCCUUCAGGGCUAAAUGCAUUUGUGCUAAGUUAUAGCAUUUUAUAGACAACUUGUUGACUAUGAUUUGUCUUGUAGCUUACUCGCUUAUGUUAUUUUACCUACGCUUAGGAUGUUGACGCAUGAGAUAUACGC
Molecule: ribosomal RNA, 774 nt
Filed under: uncultured Neocallimastigales
Lineage: Eukaryota; Fungi; Neocallimastigomycota; Neocallimastigomycetes; Neocallimastigales
Description: partial large subunit ribosomal RNA
Rfam family: Eukaryotic large subunit ribosomal RNA
Source: RNAcentral